UGACCGAGACGGGGGAGGCAUCGGCC
Molecule: unclassified non-coding RNA, 26 nt
Filed under: Mus musculus (house mouse)
Lineage: Eukaryota; Metazoa; Chordata; Mammalia; Rodentia; Muridae
Description: oocyte_clustered_small_RNA3608
Source: RNAcentral